This 484-nucleotide ribosomal RNA is filed under the name uncultured bacterium. RNAcentral describes it as "partial 16S ribosomal RNA". It matches the Rfam family "Bacterial small subunit ribosomal RNA", at positions 29 to 507 of the family's 1533-position model. The record is from RNAcentral.
AUUGAACGCUGGCGGAAUGCUUUACACAUGCAAGUCGAGCGGCAGCGCGGCCUUCGGGCUGGCGGCGAGCGGCGAACGGGAGAGUAAUGCAUCGGAACAUGCCCAGUCGUGGGGGAUAACACUUCGCAAGAAGUGAUAAUACCUCAUACGUCCUGUGGGGGACAGCGGGGGAUCGCAAGACCUCGCGCGUUUGGAGUGGGCGAUGUCAGAUCAGCUGGUUGGUGGGGUAAAGGCCUACCAAGGCGACGAUCUGUAGCUGGUCGGGGAGGAGGAUCAGCCACAAUGGGACUGAGACAAGGCCCAGACUCCUACGGGAGGAAGCAGUGGGGAAUUUUAGAGAAUGGGGGGAACAAGGAUCCAGCAAUGCCGCGUGAGUGAAGAUGGCGUUCGGGUGGUAGAGCUCUUUCGGCAGGAGCGAAGCAGUGGGCUCUCACAUAGUCCGCUAAUGACGGUACCUGAAGAAGAAGCACCGGCUAACUACGUG